RNAcentral lists this long non-coding RNA (6351 nucleotides) under Nicotiana tabacum (common tobacco). Its description in RNAcentral is "long non-coding RNA (NTAB_LNC007328)". The record is from RNAcentral. Lineage: Eukaryota; Viridiplantae; Streptophyta; Magnoliopsida; Solanales; Solanaceae.
UUGGCAAUGUUGACAUUGUUCAUAAAUAUGAAUCAUCAUGCAUUUAAGAUUCGUUUAUUGCACUAUUGAACCUAUUUCAAGCUUUUACACUAUUGGCCACCUUUAUAAUGAUAAUCAUUGUUGAUAUCAUCCCAAAUCACAAAAUCAUACAAAUAAUAAUGAGAAUCUGGAUUUAAUCUAAGAGUGACAGUUGCAGGAAAGCAUAUUAUCAGUGAAUACUCGUGCUACAUCUGCAAAUUCCCUCUCAUUAAUGCUUUCUUUUUAAUUUACUACUUGAAAACUGAUAAAUUUAUCAUACGCGGAAAUACCACUGUUGUUUCGAUCACAUCCUUCAGUUAACCAGCUUUAAUGAACAAAUUGGACAGGCCUUUUGCUAAAGAUUUAACUAACAGUGGCCAAAUCUAUCACCUCUUGUAACAAGCUAUGAUUUAUUGCAAAGCCAUAGCUUGUUUACGGCUAAACAAAGGAACAUGAAUAACACUUGAUCAUAAACUUUAACACCUUAGCAUAUUUGGAGGUUCAUUUAGAAUUAGCAGGGUAAAUUGAAGCACAAGAGUACAUAAGAUACUUGAUUAAACAUGGAUCAACUUAUGAUAAUUCAAUUUAGGGAUAUAAAUUCGAUCAAUCUCAUAUGUGAUGCUUCCAAAUAUACAAGCAAAUUCAUUGUCUUAUACUAAACAGUUCAUCAAGAAAUGAAAGUCACAUGAGAGUAACAAUAGAUCUGGAUUUCAUAAAAGAGAAGAGACACUAAACUUAAUUAUUCUAGCACACAAAGAGAAAUAAGUUCACAAGUGUGUACCUAAUACUCAAAAAUGAAAUGUAGAAUAGCCAAAUAAAAGCGAAUGAAGCUCAGCUAUUGAUUUCAGCAUGGAGCAACAAAGCAGUAGUGAUCUCACACCUCCAUAGCUCUUAAGAACCCAGAAAGUAAAUGACAUCUUCACAUGAUUCACCCUUUUUUUGAAAUUUUCUUUUUAGAUCUCCAUUGAGAGUUUAGAAUUUUAAAAUUCUACUUUUCAGACGCUUUUCUAAAUUUUCAGCUGAUAGAUGAAUGACUGUGGGCGCGUGUGAAUUUUUAGAGAUGUGUAUAUGUGAGUGAGAAUAGUGUCCAGCCCCUUAAAUACAGAUUGAAAGCUUCUCUUAUGAAAAAAAAAUCUGAGAAUCAUUUCACAUGCACCCUCCCUAAAAAUAAGGAAAAACAACAUAUUUUUCCAACCAAUUCGGGUUGUUGUCCCUUCUUCAAGUACUAUCCUAUUAUUUACAGCCCAUUUUCUUCUGAAUUUACCCUUUUCCACCCCCACCCCCCCAAAUUUUACCCAAUCUUCUUAGCUUAUUGCACUUUAAUCCUUUUCUAGAAGCUUCCUACAUAACUACCUAAGAUUCUCAAAAUCAAUUCCCUAUAUUGCCUUUCAACACUUUAGUAAUUACCCCUCUUUGUUCUUACCUUUUUCAAUACCUACUGCCUCUCUAAUACUUAAUAGAACAAAUAUCUACCACACAACUAACCAACCAGACUAGACUAAUAGUAAAUUAACAAAUCCAAAACUAAAGCCUGAAUCUAUUGAAUUAAUAAUUAACUAAACAUGCUAAUUAUACUAAUGAGCAAUUUAGACUAAGAAAACUCAGACAACAUGUAAUGCUGAAACCCUAAACUAAAAUAAAGAAAACAGAACUUUAAUGAACUAAAACGGUGAAGGCAUUAGAAAAGGGAAGGAUUAUACCUAUUUGAGUUAAUUCGGAAUAAUGACAUUGACCAUGGUGAGCUACAACUGAACCCUAGCAAAUAAAUGCGGAUUCUAGUGUGUAAGAGGAAUUGCUACAUUAGCAUUUGGCCGUCGAUUUCUCAUACGAGCCAAUGCUAUAUGUAGAAAUGCUAAUUGCGAGCCGAAUUUUUGAAAGGAGAUGAAGUUUCUUGAAAGCAACUUGGUCGGAAAGAUUUUGGUGACCAACAAAUGAACUAAAACUAAAAUCAAACAACGGAUUACCCAAAAACCAUUGCUUGAUAUAAGCUAAAGGCCGUAAACGAACCGGAGAAAGGACUGGGCGAUUUUUGGAUUUUACUUGAUUUCUCAGAUCUAAAAAUCGACGAAUUUGGUGGGGAUUUUGGGAAAGAUGAUGGUAGAUUAAAGACGGGGAUGAGGUGAGGAGUGUGGGGUAUGAAUUUGAGGGGGUUUGGAGUGGUGCCGCCGCCGUAGGGCGAUUUCCGACGGCGGCUCUGAGAGAGAAUGAAAGAGGUGAGAGAUGAGAGAUGAGGGGAAGCGGAAGUGUUCUCUAGGGUUUGGGGGGAGGGGGAAGAUUCGGACAGUUAUAAGGAGAUGGGGUGGUCAAUUCCUAGCCGUCAGAUUGACUUAGAUGAAGGGCUAUGAUCCUUUGUGACCAAAACGACACCUUUUGGAUUAUUAAAAUAGGACCGGGUAAAUCAAAAGACUGGGUUGGGGAUUUUAUGACUUUUGGGCCUCACCAUGAACUUGUCCAUAUGAAAUUUAAAGACCCAAACAAGCCUAUUUCUUUCUUACUUUGAUUUUAAGCUAUAGCCAAGUUAAUUAAAAUUUCAAAUUAAAUCCUAACUCAAAUCUAAUUUGUAAAAUUAAACCUACUUACCUAUUUUUUUUAACAAUUAACUAAUUUAAUUAACUAAUAAUGUAUGUAAAGUUACUAAUGUAUUUUUGUUGUUAUUUUCAUGUAUUAAUUCUACAAUUAAUAAGUGAUUAAUUCCUAAAAAUGCAAUUAAAACCUAAAAUAAUAAGGAAUGAAGAUUUGAAAGUUUUCUAGUUUUACUAUGAUUUUAAGAUAUUAAAUAUGCACAAAAAUGUAACUAAAUGCAAACAAACAAAUAAAUAUCAUUUCCUAGAAAUUCUAUAAAAAAAAAAAAAUAACUAGAUUUUUAUUUUUGGAUUUUGUAGGAGUAUUCUCGUAGUGCAAAAAUUACAUGCUCACACUCACAACACUUAGUUAAUCACCUGGUGGGGAAUUGGUUGAGUUGAGCAGGGACUUCCCAGAUGAGAGAUCUAGGGUUUAAACUCACUUUCAUACCUUUUCGAUCAAACUUAUCGUACGGGAUUUGCCUAGUACAGUUUACCCUCUUGUGUAAUUUGCGGACUAUUACACAAGAGCGGAGCUUACACUGUGAGCACUCGAAAGGUAACGAUCGCUNNNNNNNNNNNNNNNNNNNNNNNNNNNNNNNNNNNNNNNNNNNNNNNNNNNNNNNNNNNNNNNNNNNNNNNNNNNNNNNNNNNNNNNNNNNNNNNNNNNNNNNNNNNNNNNNNNNNNNNNNNNNNNNNNNNNNNNNNNNNNNNNNNNNNNNNNNNNNNNNNNNNNNNNNNNNNNNNNNNNNNNNNNNNNNNNNNNNNNNNNNNNNNNNNNNNNNNNNNNNNNNNGAUUCUUGUUAGAAAAAAAUACUUAGUUAAUCACAUAAUACUUCUCCUUUAUAUAACUCAUAUGUCCAUGCAACCAUCACGUAAAAGACUUCUAUUUAAGGAGAGAUACAGAUGUAUAUAUAUAGCCAUGGAUAUAUCUAUGACAAACUCACUCUCACUUACAAUAUAGAAUUUGUGAAAGCGCAAUGCACGUGAUAAGAAUUGUAGCUUAAUAAAUUAAGCGCUAGUAAACAAGUUAGAGCAGUUAAUUGAUUAGGAAAAAAAGAGGAAUGACUUUUACAAAUAUUUUAUUAGGUUGUGAUGAAAAAUGAUUAAUUAGAGCAUGUUCGGAAUAAAAUCAAUCUUAGUAGAUGUGGCAACUAAUGAUCCACUUGUAUAGAUUGGAGCUACCUUGUUAACUAUUAUUAGAGAGAAAAGAGAAAAAAAAUUUGAACUUGUCAAUGCACAAUUUUUUUUCUCGCUCUACAAAUGUUAAUAUAUUGUGUACAAGAAAGAGCAAAAUCUUAUAAAGUAAUAUUUAUUAUUCUCUUUAUCAAUUAAGAAGCAUUCUAUAGUCUUUCUCUCCCUUUUUCUCUCGAUCCCAAUUUUUGCUUUUGACUUACUCCCUUUAUUUCAAAUUAGAUGAGUUACUUUCCUUUGACUUAAAGGAUAAUCUUAUUCAUUUCUUAAUUUGUUAGGGUUCAUGUAACGAUCUAACCGGUCGUUUUGAGCAUUUACACUUCGUUCGGUAGUUUACGGGCGUGAGUAGCUCUGUAUGAGGUAUUUUGUCUUAUGUGAAUCGUCGGUUUUGGUUUUCAGGUUAUUCAGGACUGAUUUGGAAGAAUGAUUCUCAACUAGGGAGCUUUAAAUUUGAAAGAGUUGACCAAGUUUGAAUUUUUAGCAUUUGACCUCGGAUUGGAAUUUUGAUGAUUUCGUUAGCUCCGUUGGGUGAUUUUGGACUUAGGAGCGCGUACGGAUUGUGAUUUAGAGGUCCAUGAUUGAAUUUGGCUCGAAAUGGCGAAAGUUGAAAUUUUGGAGAGUUUGACCAGGAGUGGACUUUUUGAUAUUGGGGUCAGAUUCUGAUUCAGGAAGUUGGAGCAGGUCCGUAAUGUCGAUUGUGACUUGUGUGUAAAAUUUGAGAUCAAUUAGACGUGAUUUGAUAGGUUUCGGCAUCGGUUGUGGAAGUUUAAAGUUUCAAAGUUCAUUGAUUCGAGUUAAGGUGUGAUUCAUCGUUUCGAUGUUGUUAUGUAUGUUUUGAGGCCUCGAGUAGGUCUAUGUUAUGUUAUGUGACUUGUUGGUAUGUUAGGACGGGGUCCCGAGGGGCUCGGGCGCAUUUCGAAUCGAUUUCGGAUCAUUCCCUUGGAAUAUUUAUUAUGGUAUCCCAAGUCACCAGUUUAUUUUAAAAUCCCAAAUCGAGGAAAUAGACUCUAUUUAUGGUCCUCGAAUAUGGAAGACCGAGUAAGGAAUUAUGUUAAUCCAGGAGAAGGUGUGAGGCAUUCCCAAAUCCCAAGUUCCGUGGUUUUAGUACGGUCACAAUAAUUAUUAAUUGGCCUAAUUAUAUAAUUUAUUACAUGUUAAAAACCUUUUAUGUGUUGCCGUUCUAAUUAAUUUUUAAUCACUUUAUUAUUUAUAGGAUUUAUUUGAACAAGUCGCAUUGUCGCACUCGUUUGUUUUUGUACAUAUUGCGAAUCGCGUCACGUGAAACGCACCCGCGAUCUAAACAUGUUAAUUUUAUUAUUAUUUGUAGUUGAGGUCAAGUCGCGUGAAACGCGCACUUGAGUUGGGGUUUACAUAUCGUGACCAUGCCACGGGAACAGUACCCAUGGUCACGAGGAUUUAUUUAAACGCGCCUAAAGUAAACUCCGAUAUUUGUGAGUGAAUAUUUUAUUAGAUUCGAGAUUAUUGUGCAGGUCUAGAAUUAUGGGUGUUCAUUUGUUGGACAAAGUGUUCAUGAAUUUCAGAAAAUUACGAAAGCACACAAGCUUGUUGAGAGGUUUAGAAUUCGUUUGACAAUUAGUUGGGCUUAGUGAUCAUUUUCAUCCAUGCAUGUGAAUUUAUUUAGUGCUCAAGUCAUGGUGUUAAAGGCCUAAUUUCAACUUAUAAACCACUACGGGUCCUCUGAAAGGUACGAACAUAACAGCAUUGGGCUUGAAUGCUAAAAAAAUAGUGCACAUGACCUUUGCAAUAAGGCAGCUAGUCAUAUUUGAGCCUCAAACCAUUCAGAGCUUACUUGACUCUAAUGUUAUUAGAUUCAUGACUAUCAAAUAGAAGCAAACAUGAAAAUAUUGGCAAUGUUGACAUUCGUUCAUAAAUAUGAAUCAUCAUGCAUUUAAGAUUCGUUUAUUGCACUACUGAACCUAUUUCAAGCAUUUACACUAUUGGCCACCUUCAUAAUGAUAAUCAUUGUUGAUAUCAUCCCAAAUCACAAAAUCAUACAAAUAAUAAUGAGAAUCUGGAUUUAAUCUAGUGAUAAUUACAAGAAAGCAUAUUAUCAAUGAAUACUCGUGCUACAUGUGCAAAUUCCCUCUCAUUAAUGCUUUCUUUUUAAUUUACUACUUGAAAAUUGAUAAAUUUAUCAUACGCGAAAAUACCACUGUUGUUUCGAUCACAUCCUUCAGUUAACCAGCUUUAACGAACAAAAUGGACAGGCCUUUUGCUAAAGAUUUAACUAACAAUGGCCAAAUCUAUCACCUCUUGUAACAGGCUAUGAUUCAAUGCAAAGCCAUAGCUUGUUUACGGUUAAACAAAGGAACUUGAAUAACACUUGAUCAUAAACUCUAACACCUUAGCAUAUUUGGAGGUUCAUUUAGAAUUAGCAGGUUAAAUUGAAGCACAAGAGUACAUAAGACACUUGAUUAACCAUGGAUCAGCUUAUGGGAAUUCAAUUUAGGGAUUCAAAUCUGAUCAAUCUCAUAUGUGAUGCUUCCAAAUAUACAAGCAAAUUCAUGGUCUUGUACUAAACAGUUCAUAAAGUCACAUGAGAGUAACAAUAGAUCUG